AGCCCUAUAGUGUAUAAAGCACCUUAGAUUGCAAAUCUAAAAGUGACCCUAAAGGUCUAGAGCUUA
Molecule: transfer RNA, 66 nt
Filed under: Amphiura sp. CZ-2022
Lineage: Eukaryota; Metazoa; Echinodermata; Ophiuroidea; Amphilepidida; Amphiuridae
Description: tRNA-Cys
Source: RNAcentral